CUCUUGGCUGGACAAAAGAGAAUGAAAGGAAUAACAAAAGCCAGAAUCUUGUGUAUCAUUCUGUUUUAUCAUAAGAGUGAGUUGUCUGAAACGCACUUGCAGACACAAAGAAAGGGUUCAAAGUAGAAACACAAGGUACGCUGAUAUAAUGGUCUAAAGAUAUAGUAACUAAGCUAGUUUGCAUAUAUCCUCAUACUCAAUAGACUUGAUGACUCUCCCUUCAUAAACACCUUUCUCAAUCUGCACUUUAGCACAGAACUUCUCCGUAUCCACGCCCAACAACUUCGCAACUGAACCGCGAUACGCCCCAUUCACAAUCUUCACCAACCCUCCAAUCUGCGGAAUCACAGUCUCAAGCUCCUCCUGAUCAACUCGCAGCACAUGCUUAGAAUCAAUCAUCUCAAUCUCCCCGACAUAGUCAUCAAUCACUUUCCUCACCACACCCUUCUGCUUAUAAUACCCUUUAUCCGCCAGAGCUUUACUCAUCACCUUCACAACAAUCCCUUGGAACAGCCAGUAAGGCUUGCGAUUCAUCCUCUCCUUCUUCCUCUCUUCCUCCUUCAUCAACUCAUCCAAAGCAGACCUUCUCUCCUUCUCCAAGUCUCCACCUUUUCUCCUCUUCUUCUUCUCCUCUCUCUCAUUCUCUUCCUCCUCAAACACACGCCUCGAGCUCUCACCCGUAGUAACAACCUGUUUAGCCCCUCCACCGAGUGAAAACCCAACCUUGACAACACCACUCUUCAACCCAAAGUCUUCACCUUUCUUCUUCUCAUCAUCAUCUUUACCACUACCUUCACCUUCCUUGGCUCUCUCAAUCUGUCUCCGAAUCUCCCUCUCCUGCUUCUCCUCCUCAGCCAAAUCACUCUUCACCCUCUUAUUCUUCAACCUCUCUUUAAAAAUAGUCUCCGAAUCUCUAUCAAUAUAAGUAAUGAACCACCCUUUAGGCGUCUCCUCGACCUUACACUUCCCCGUCUUCCCCAAAUACUUUAUAAACUCCGUCAGCGUCGCCCACUCCGUCGAGUUCAUAUGCACAUGGUGCCUAUCGUUAAUGUACUCGUUGUACACCACGGUGGCGGCGAUGCGAGAGAAACGGUGGCUCCGCCGCAUGAGGUCGAGGAAGGUCUUCUCGAACUCCUCGGAGUAGCCCUGGAGGACGCGCCUCUGGUUCUGGCCGAAGACCUGCAUCUGGCGCUGGUGAGACUCGCUCAUGCAGUGGCACUUGAACCCGUUCUCGUCGCGGCACUGCUUCUGGCACAUCUGGCAGUACCACCGGAGCUUCUGGAGGCCUUUCGCCUUCAUGCGGUUCGCGAUCGCCUUCGGGGUGAGGAAAUCGUUCUUGCCCAUCGUCGAAUCGAAUCGAAUUAGGGUUCUUGGGGGAUUGGAAUCAGAGAGCAGAAACGACGUGACUGGUCGAGGUUUCGCGAAGAAUCGAUUUUUCUUUCUUGUCGAUGAAUUGAAGAGAGACGGAUGAUUAGCGAAACUCACUAAUGGGCCUAUAUAAUAUGUAGUAGAGGCUACACAUUGGCCCAUAUGUGGUUCAGUUUCAUCUAUAGUUUGUUGUGUACGGGUAAUUUGUUUCAAACCCAACUUUUACUCGGAUACCCAUCCAAUACAGUUUGAAUUGGUUGCUUUUGGUCAAACAUUUUGUAUUCAAUGCGUCUAAAUUUACCCAAAAUAAUAUACGGCUUGAAUCCUUUGUAAAAGCAAAAUCAAAGAUCACAGGGUUUCUUAAAGAUAAUACAUUAGUCUCACUUACAACGGCACUGAGUAAACCAAUGAAAAUCAAAGACAAACCAGUCAAGAACAUGUCAUGAAACAGAAUCUCAUCUGCAGUAACCUUCGGUGACUCAUGAAACGAUCCAUCAGGGAUCAUUAUGCAGUCAAACCCCAUCAUCUUCUACCCUCUACGAUGCAACCAUGUUCUCUUGGCUGGACAAAAGAGAAUGAAAGGAAUAACAAAAGCCAGAAUCUUGUGUAUCAUUCUGUUUUAUCAUAAGAGUGAGUUGUCUGAAACGCACUUGCAGACACAAAGAAAGGGUUCAAAGUAGAAACACAAGGUACGCUGAUAUAAUGGUCUAAAGAUAUAGUAACUAAGCUAGUUUGCAUAUAUCCUCAUACUCAAUAGACUUGAUGACUCUCCCUUCAUAAACACCUUUCUCAAUCUGCACUUUAGCACAGAACUUCUCCGUAUCCACGCCCAAC
RNAcentral lists this long non-coding RNA (2202 nucleotides) under Brassica napus (rape). RNAcentral describes it as "long non-coding RNA (BNAP_LNC026786)". Lineage: Eukaryota; Viridiplantae; Streptophyta; Magnoliopsida; Brassicales; Brassicaceae. The record is from RNAcentral.